CUUGCUUCUCUUGAGAGCGGCGGACGGGUGAGUAAUGCCUAGGAAUCUGCCUGGUAGUGGGGGAUAACGUUCGGAAACGGACGCUAAUACCGCAUACGUCCUACGGGAGAAAGCAGGGGACCUUCGGGCCUUGCGCUAUCAGAUGAGCCUAGGUCGGAUUAGCUAGUUGGUGGGGUAAUGGCUCACCAAGGCUACGAUCCGUAACUGGUCUGAGAGGAUGAUCAGUCACACUGGAACUGAGACACGGUCCAGACUCCUACGGGAGGCAGCAGUGGGGAAUAUUGGACAAUGGGCGAAAGCCUGAUCCAGCCAUGCCGCGUGUGUGAAGAAGGUCUUCGGAUUGUAAAGCACUUUAAGUUGGGAGGAAGGGUUGUAGAUUAAUACUCUGCAAUUUUGACGUUACCGACAGAAUAAGCACCGGCUAACUCUGUGCCAGCAGCCGCGGUAAUACAGAGGGUGCAAGCGUUAAUCGGAAUUACUGGGCGUAAAGCGCGCGUAGGUGGUUUGUUAAGUUGGAUGUGAAAUCCCCGGGCUCAACCUGGGAACUGCAUUCAAAACUGACUGACUAGAGUAUGGUAGAGGGUGGUGGAAUUUCCUGUGUAGCGGUGAAAUGCGUAGAUAUAGGAAGGAACACCAGUGGCGA
This 643-nucleotide ribosomal RNA is filed under the name uncultured bacterium. RNAcentral describes it as "bacterial SSU rRNA". It matches the Rfam family "Bacterial small subunit ribosomal RNA", at positions 79 to 718 of the family's 1533-position model. The record is from RNAcentral.